UACACCUACGGGAGGCAGCAGUGGGGAAUAUUGGACAAUGGGCGCAAGCCUGAUCCAGCCAUACCGCGUGGGUGAAGAAGGCCUUCGGGUUGUAAAGCCCUUUUGUUGGGAAAGAAAAGCAGUCGGUUAAUACCCGGUUGUUCUGACGGUACCCAAAGAAUAAGCACCGGCUAACUUCGUGCCAGCAGCCGCGGUAAUACGAAGGGUGCAAGCGUUACUCGGAAUUACUGGGCGUAAAGCGUGCGUAGGUGGUUGUUUAAGUCUGUUGUGAAAGCCCUGGGCUCAACCUGGGAAUUGCAGUGGAUACUGGGCGACUAGAGUGUGGUAGAGGGUAGUGGAAUUCCCGGUGUAGCAGUGAAAUGCGUAGAGAUCGGGAGGAACAUCCAUGGCGAAGGCAGCUACCUGGACCAACACUGACACUGAGGCACGAAAGCGUGGGGAGCAAACAGGAUUAGAUACCCUGGUAGUCCACGCCCUAAACGAUGCGAACUGGAUGUUGGGUGCAAUUUGGCACGCAGUAUCGAAGCUAACGCGUUAAGUUCGCCGCCUGGGGAGUACGGUCGCAAGACUGAAACUCAAAGGAAUUGACGGGGGCCCGCACAAGCGGUGGAGUAUGUGGUUUAAUUCGAUGCAACGCGAAGAACCUUACCUGGUCUUGACAUGUCGAGAACUUUCCAGAGAUGGAUUGGUGC
RNAcentral lists this ribosomal RNA (692 nucleotides) under Stenotrophomonas sp. Its description in RNAcentral is "bacterial SSU rRNA". It matches the Rfam family "Bacterial small subunit ribosomal RNA", at positions 334 to 1017 of the family's 1533-position model. Lineage: Bacteria; Pseudomonadati; Pseudomonadota; Gammaproteobacteria; Lysobacterales; Lysobacteraceae. The record is from RNAcentral.